This is a long non-coding RNA of Arachis duranensis, 920 nucleotides long. RefSeq lists it as uncharacterized. Lineage: Eukaryota; Viridiplantae; Streptophyta; Magnoliopsida; Fabales; Fabaceae. The record is from RefSeq and is a predicted model, not a curated record. The transcript has 3 exons.
GCCAAGACCAGAAGACCUAAUCCCUAAUUCCAGAUUUGCAGCUUCCUCACUCAGCCACUCCUCAGUUCGUCGUCACUCAGCCACUCCUCGACGGCCUCAGUUCCUCAGUUUCUGCGUUCCUCACCGAGUCACCGUCAGUUCCUCACCGAGUCACCGUCACUCUCAGUCUCUCAGUCGGUCAUCCUCAUUCCUCAGCCCCUCACCGUCACUCUCAGUCUCUCAGUCUCUCACUUCCAUCGUCCCUCACCGUCACUCUCAGUCUCUCACCUCAGCUCGAACUUCAGAGUUCCGUCCUCAUCCCUGACGGUUGCUGAGUCGGAGUCAAUUUCCUCACUGUCGAUCUUCGGUCGUCGUGGCCUAGAGGUUUAUAGCCACCGCUGCUGCUCCGUGUGGCCGUCGUCGCUGCUGCCUGAUAGUCUCGGUCCUGGGCUCCUGGGUCUUGUCCUCUGACUCUGCUGGUCUCGCUCUCCAUCACGGGCUCACGGCUGCUCGUCGCCUCAUCUGUGGCUCUGUCCUGGUCCUCGUCUCCUCUGAAAAUCUGCCUAGUUGAUACUUGAUAAUGGUUGAAAUUAUUUUGCAAUGAUGCAAUCAUUGAUGUUUUGCAAUGGUGGAAAGACAACCAUCAUCGUUUUCCAACACUAUCACUAAUGGCACGAGAUUUGUUGAGCAUUCCUAUUACUACCGUGGCUUCAGAAUCUGCAUUUAGCAUGGGUUCUCAUGUUUUGAACAAGUAUAGAAGUCGUUUGUUGUCAGAUAAUGUUGAAGCGGUGAUUUGCACCAGAAAUUGGAUACGUGGAUAUGAUGAUUUUGAGGAAGAUAAAGAUCAGGAAGAUAUUGCAAAAGGAGAAGGCUAUUCUUCAAGAGUUGGUUCCAAUGAUGUUAUUGACUUACAUGAAGAUGAAAAUGAAAAUUAAGUAUUU